AUUAUAUAUGUAAUUAUGUAUAU
This 23-nucleotide small nuclear RNA is filed under the name Arabidopsis thaliana (thale cress). RNAcentral's name for it is "snRNA_01047". The record is from RNAcentral. Lineage: Eukaryota; Viridiplantae; Streptophyta; Magnoliopsida; Brassicales; Brassicaceae.